This 432-nucleotide long non-coding RNA is filed under the name Heterocephalus glaber (naked mole-rat). RNAcentral's name for it is "lncRNA (ENSHGLG00100039903.1)". Lineage: Eukaryota; Metazoa; Chordata; Mammalia; Rodentia; Bathyergidae. The record is from RNAcentral.
AGAAGGCUGGGGUAGCCUAGCACUCCAUCCCUCUUUAGAAUAAGAAGAGCCUUUAGUUGGGCACAGCUGGAGUGAGUGGAUCCCCAGAGGGGCCUUAAAUGCGAAGACUUGGAGCUCCUGGCCUCCCAAGGCUCAGAGACACAAGCUCUGAGAGAGCCUGCUGAGGAUUGUUGUGCCCAGAUUGUGAAGUCCCAAAGACCACCAGGAGGCCAUUUCCGAUGGAUCAAACUCGGGACCUUGCACUUGCAAGGCAGGUGGCGGCACCACUGAACUAAAUCCCUGGCCUCUGAAUUGUACAUUUUAAAUGAACUAAUAUGGCAGGUGAAUUAUAUAUUCUGCCUAAUAUCUCAAUAAAGCUGCUACAAAAAUCUCGUUCCAGAUUUGGUCAGCUGAUAUCCUUUUGAUGUAGUUCUUAUAUGGAUUUGAGGUGCC